CCUACGGGAGGCUGCAGUGGGGAAUAUUGGGCAAUGGGCGCAAGCCUGACCCAGCAACGCCGCGUGAAGGAAGAAGGCUUUCGGGUUGUAAACUUCUUUUAAGAGGGAAGAGCAGAAGACGGUACCUCUUGAAUAAGCCACGGCUAACUACGUGCCAGCAGCCGCGGUAAUACGUAGGUGGCAAGCGUUGUCCGGAUUUACUGGGUGUAAAGGGCGUGCAGCCGGGAAGACAAGUCAGAUGUGAAAUCCCGCGGCUCAACCGCGGAACUGCAUUUGAAACUGUUUUUCUUGAGUACCGGAGAGGUCAUCGGAAUGCCUUGUGUAGCGGUGAAAUGCGUAGAUAUAAGGAAGAACACCAGUGGCGAAGGCGGAGGACUGGACGGCAACUGACGGUGAGGCGCGAAAGCGUGGGGAGCGAACAGGAUUAGAUACCCCAGUAGUC
Molecule: ribosomal RNA, 442 nt
Filed under: uncultured bacterium
Lineage: Bacteria
Description: partial 16S ribosomal RNA
Rfam family: Bacterial small subunit ribosomal RNA
Source: RNAcentral